AACAUGACCAAUUGUUGCCUCGGCGGAUCAGCCCGCUCCCGGAAAACGGGACGGCCCGCCAGAGGACCCCUAAACUCUGUUUCUAUAUGUAACUUCUGAGUAAAACCAUAAAUAAAUCAAAACUUUCAACAACGGAUCUCUUGGUUCUGGCAUCGAUGAAGAACGCAGCAAAAUGCGAUAAGUAAUGUGAAUUGCAGAAUUCAGUGAAUCAUCGAAUCUUUGAACGCACAUUGCGCCCGCCAGUAUUCUGGCGGGCAUGCCUGUUCGAGCGUCAUUUCAACCCUCAAGCCCCCGGGUUUGGUGUUGGGGAUCGGCGAGCCCUUGCGGCAAGCCGGCCCCGAAAUCUAGUGGCGGUCUCGCUGCAGCUUCCAUUGCGUAGUAGUAAAACCCUCGCAACUGGUACGCGGCGCGGCCAAGCCGUUAAACCCCCAACUUCUGAAUGUUGACCUCGGAUCAGGUAGGAAUACCCGCUGAACUUAAGCAUAUCAAUAAGCGGAGGAA
RNAcentral lists this ribosomal RNA (501 nucleotides) under Fusarium oxysporum. Its description in RNAcentral is "eukaryotic LSU rRNA". The stretch from base 121 to 274 matches the Rfam family "5.8S ribosomal RNA". Lineage: Eukaryota; Fungi; Ascomycota; Sordariomycetes; Hypocreales; Nectriaceae. The record is from RNAcentral.